CUUUCUUUCGCAACCCCGCCGUUCUCGCUGGCUCGGCGCUGCUCCGGAUCUCCUGGCUCCCCCUUCCUCCGUCCCCUCCCGAAUCCUCCCCACCUCGGGACCUCUGCGCCUUCUCAAUCUGUGUCGCCUUCCCAUAGCGCCGCGACCGCGCAGCCGUCUCCCUGUCGUCGGUCCUUUUCUCCCCCUCAUCACCCCGCCCCUGCUCCGCCAUUUGUGCCCGAGCUCUAUGUCCUUCACGCGCCACCGCGGCCGCUGACCCCACCGGCAGGUCGCUCGUCCAGGCGCGCGGGAGCACCGCUUCCGUCAAGCAGGCGGGCCAGCAGAUCCAUGAAUCUCAUUAUCCGGUAGGGCGAGGUUCGUGCCUUUUACAUGAACAGAGAUUGUGGUGCUGUGCUUAUUGAAGUGGGCCCUGAAAAAUUGUAGCUAGCCCAUGCGUUGGUGUGCAUGUUUGAAACCGUUCUGUCAAAAAUUCAUGGAGGAUGCGAGCUAGCUAGGAUCAAGGGGUUUGCUGAAUGGUUACUUUUUGCUAUUUGAAUCUAAUUUUUGUUCGUUUUAGUUUGUAGAAUGUAAUACCAUUAGUCUUAGUAUUUGUCUACUGCUAGCAAAGCUUGCUCAAUGAAAUUGUGGUGAAGCCUUAAAGUUAAACACUGUUUCCCUAUUAUAUGUGCUUCCAAGAAUUAAGUUGCCUAGAAUUUCAGUAAGAGUUAAGCUUUACGCCAUUCGUUUGGGUGACUUCAAUAGGCUUUGAAACUGCUACAUAGAACAGUCUUUGUGGAAGAACCUAUGUGAAAGUCUGUCAAUGUGUAUCCAUAUAUGAUAUGGUAUAUUUGGUGCAUUGAUCUGAUGCAAUUUUUAUAGUCAACUUUAAAUUUAGAGAUCAUUUGUGCAUUAUAAUAUUUUUGUUGAUUAAUGAUCUGGUGUUUCGUACAUAAGGCUGCUUUACUAAGUCAACUUAUUUGAAAUUUUGAGUUUCAGUUGCAAGCGCGGGCAACUGAGGACCUACCCAUGUAUACAUGUUAAGUCAACUUAUUGGAAAUUUUGAGUUUCAGUUGCAAGCGCGGGCAACUGAGGACCUACCCAUGCAUACAUGUUAUUUCAUUUUACUUUGAAGGUAAAAUUUGUGUUGUCUUUUGAUAUCAAUUCAAUCAUGAUCCCUUGGCUAUUGACUUGGAGCCCUUUCUAAAUUAAUAUUUAAAUAAUAAAACACCACAAAAUAGUUCUCCUAAUCCCAUUUUUUAUUUACAAAUAAAAAAGUGUCAUCAUUAUUCCACAUGAGUUUGUAUUUGAGAACAUUACCUUUCGUUAAAGCCACUAAUUUGUCAGCACACAGCAAUAAUGGAUAUUUCCCAAGAACUUUUCGUGAUAUCUUUUGCCAGAAUAAGCUCAUUUUGAGUAAGGAUGUUUUCCUAUGGUCAAGGAUAUACUGUCUCGUUGAAUGCUGAAGGAUCAUCGGUGGCCUUGAUUGUGUAUGUUCCCAGUUCCCACAUCCAGUUCACCAACAAAUAUCGCUGCAUAGAGCUAAUGGUCAGAAGUGAAUGAUUGCAAGAGAGUCAUUUUCUGUUCUUAGUAACUUUUAAUAGUUGAUCUAAUUUUUUAUUAACUACAUCUGGUCCUAAUACAUUAUAAUUUCUUUCUUUUAAAUAGAGUUUUUCUUUUAAGAUUCAGUAUUUUAGCCAAAAAUAAUCUAAAGAUGAAAAGGAACUGAACACAUUGUGUGAUCCGGUUCAUAUAUACACUGUGAUAACUAAUCUUUAAUUUUAGAGGUAAAGAACUAAACAAAAUUAUUUGAAACAAAUAACUUCCUAAUGUAUGAUAGAAAUUUACACAAAGAAACAUUUUCAACGUUUUCUGUUUGUUGUUACAUUUAGUUGACGUAUUAGUGGUUGUAGUUCUGUAAUGGCAACUAGUAAAACCCUGUAAUCAACCCCAGUUAGAAACUUAGAAUCAGCAAAAGAAAAAAAAAUCAGGCACAGAUUAGAAAAUAACACCUCUCAAAUAAAAAACUGGGCUUACAAAUAAUGGCUUUGAUUACACAGAUCAUGAGCUGGGCCUUACAAAUGAGAUGGUUGUGGAUAGAAAAAACCUCUUCAGAUCAACCUUGGGCAGGGCUAAAAUUCCCAGUUCACCCUCAAACCAAAGCCAUGUUCUGCAUUUCAGUUACCACACAAGUUGGCAAUGGAACUAAUUCUCUCUUCUGGUCGGAUAGAUGGUUACAUGGGUGUUCUCUGUCUGUUUUAGCUCCAGCAGUGGUCUCUUGUAUCUCACAGAGGUGUAUGUCUAGCAGGACAGUUGCACAAGCUCUUGAUAACAGAACUUGGGUAAGGGACAUACAAGGAAGCCUCUGUUUGGAAGGGCUGGUCCAAUAUCUUCAAAUCUGGGAUUUAUUAGAGUAUUUCACCUUGGUCCAGGACACUGAUAAACAUAUAUGGAGACAUGAGAGGAAUGGAGUUUUUUCCUCCAAAUCCACUUACAGGGCCUUCUUCAAUGGUGCCAUAACCUUUGAACCUUGGCGCAGGCUCUGGAAAUCUUGGGCUCCUCCUAAGUGCAAAAUGUUUUUAUGGCUGGCUAUUUGGAACAAGUGCUGGACUGCAGACAGGUUAGCAAGGAGAGGACUCCCACACCCUGAUCAGUGUGUUUUGUGUGAUCAAGAGGAAGAGAUGGUGUGGCACAUUCUUACCAACUGUGUUUUUGCUCAUCAAUGGUGGUAUAAUCUGCUAGCUCUUCUUGGCCUAGAGAGUAUAGUACCAAGAAGGAAUGAAAAGAGCUUUGCUGAUUGGUGGAGGAAAUCAUAUAAAAAAGUAGGCAAAGCUCAAAGAAAAGGAUUUAAUAGCACGGUUAUACUAGGAGCUUGGAUGCUAUGGAAUCACCAGAAACAAGGGAGUUUUUGAUGGGGCAGCCCCUUCUUUGCAAGCAGCACAUCAGUUCUUAAAGAAAAGUCGAGGCUUUGGGGCCUUGCCGGUGCUAAAAAAAAUUCAGGAUUUAUUUCAGGGUCAAGGGGAUGGUCAAGGGAGAGUUUCUUGUUUAGGUCUGUGGGGGGUUGCAGCAGCCUUAUUUCCUCCUUUGUGAGGAAAUGAGACUGCUUUGUACGGGGAUCUUUCCCCUUCUUUCUCUCUUAAUAUAAAGAUAUGCAGCUCUCCUGCGUGUUCGAUAAAAAAAAAUAAAUAAAAACUUAGAAGUUAAGAAGAAUAAACUCACAAAGGACUUGUUCUCUGUCUUUGGAGAAGCAUCAGGACUGCAGACCAACCUGAGCAAAAGCUGUGUGAUCCCUAUUCAGUGCGAAGGUGAGAUUAUCAAUAUCGUGAACAAAACUUUACAGUGCACGACCACAUCAUUUCCCUGCACAUACAUGGGGUUACCCAUUUCCAACAAUAAGCUAUGAAGAUGUGAUUUGAUGGCUUGGAUUGAGAAAGUUGCAGAUAGGCUCCCUGGUUGGAAAGCCUCUCUCAUGAACAUGUCAGGGCGUGCGGUGCUGGCGCGUUUUGUACUCACUGCCAUCCCCUUAUAUUUACUGGUCGCCAUCAAAGUCCCUAAGUGGUUCAUCAGAGCAAUAGACAAAAUCAGAAGGGGUUUUUUGUGGAAAGGAAGGAAGGAGGUAAAUGGUGGCUGCUGUCUGGUGGCUUGGGAGAAGGUCAUGAGGCCAAUUGAUCUUGGAGAGCUGGGAAUUCACAACCUGGAAAUCAUGGGUUAGGCGCUUCAGAUGCGAUGGCUUUGGUUUGAAAAGACUAGGCCAGAUAGGCCUUGGGCUGGGCUGGAGCUUCCGGUCCAUUCUAACAACCUUGCCAUGUUCGCCAUCUCAGUAGUAUCUUCUCUAGGGAAUGGAGCAAACACUUUGUUUUGGUCUGGUCGCUGGCUCCAUGGUUGUUCACUAGAAGACUUGGCACCUGAAGUUCACAAGAGCAUCCCUCCGAGAUUGAGAAAAACAAGAACGGUGGCCCAAGCCCUACUUGGUCAUGCUUGGGUAGCAAACAUUAGAGGAGCGCUUGGCCAUGUUGGUCUAACAGAAUAUCUACAGCUUUGGGACGCAUUAGCAUCCAUAGUGCUGAACCAUGCUGAUGAUCUGCACCAUUGGAAGUUUGAAGCCUCUGGAGAGUUCUCCACCAGAUCGGCUUACAGGUCCUUCUUUGUUGGCUCCAUCACCUUUGAACCACGGAAGCAAAUUUGGAAAUCUUGGGCACCUGGUAAUUGCAGAAUGUUCAUUUGGUUGGCUAUCCGAAACCGUUGUUGGACAGCAGACCGAUUGGAAAAAAGAGGGCUCCCUCACCCAGAGCAGUGCCCUCUUUGUGAUCAAGAGGGUGAGACAGUUCAACAUAUUCUUACUUCUUGUGUUUUUGCUCGGCAAUUCUGGUUUGAGAUUCUGCAGCCACUGAAUUUGUCCAGCCUGGUGCCUAGCUGAAGGAUCAGGUCCUUUGCUGAAUGGUGGUGAAAAUCCCUGAGAAAAGUUCAGAAGCAGCAUAAAAAGGGCUUUAACUCCCAGGUCAUGCUUGGAGCUUGGAUUAUCUGUAAACACCGCAAUGCUUGUGUUUUCGAUGGCUCUGAUCCAAACCUUCAGGGAGCUCUUCAGGCUUUCAGGGACGAAUCCCACCUCUGGCAAUUGGCUGGAACCAGAGGGUUAUCAGCCCUGGAUCUAAGAAGAAUUGAGGUUUAGAGGUGGUAGUUUUUUAUUUUUUGGUCAGGCCUUGCUAUCUGUGUUUUUUUUUCAGUUAAGUUCUUUUUUUGAAUCCUGCACACCUCACUAUGGUCCAAGGUGAUGUGGUGCAUUGUAUUUGGACCACUCUUUCCUCUUAAUACAAAGAUACGCAGCUCUCCUGCAUGUUCGAGAAAAAAAAAGAAGACAUAAACUUUGAUGUUCACCUUUGACAUUGGUGGCAGCUCCAUAUACACAAAAUUUCUCUUUGGAUGGGAAAAGGGUGCACAUUUGACAAAGAGCAUGCUCCAUUGAUGCUGGACCUGUACCAAAUUCGGAUGCUAUGAAGCUCUGCGUCCAAAAUUAUUAUUUGCACUGAUCCAUGCUAAGGCGCAUGCUCUGUCAGCUUUCUUGAUUGCCUCCAUAAGCUUGAGCUGCAGGAGGUUGUGCUCCUGGACAAGGUUGACACGAUUGUGUCCACUUUGCCUCAUGGUGAUGACAAGGCUCGUGUGGUUGCCCCGCGACACCUCCAUGAGCUGGGCUCCCUGUGCAUUGAAGAACAGCAGCCUUUGGAGCUUGUCUAAUAUCAAGUCUGAUCUCCGGUCACAUCAGGACGUAGGCUGGGUGGUCCUGAACCAGGUUUGCCGUCAUGACCUGUCUCCUGAUGAAGCCCGUGCCAUCCACGACUAGAACUCUGCACUUCUCCAUCUCUGCAAGAUGUAUUUCUGUGGCUCAGGGUGGAAGUAAAUUCUGCUUCAUUUUUCAGUGGUUGCAGGAGUCCAAUUGCUGUGUUGCUGCAUGAUCACCGAGGCCUCAUGUGGUCAGCACCUUUAUUAUUGGGGCAUAGCAAUGGCAGCACUGUGUUUCCAUGCUAUGACGUAACACGGUCGACUGAAUGACCUUUCCAUUUUCUUUGUCUAAUGGCUGGGUUCAUUUUCAUGUGAGAAUUGCAUUUCUUUGUUAUCUAGGUUGAAGCUAUGUGUGCAAUCAAGUUAUCUGAUCAAACAUGAUGCCAUCAUUCACAUCUUAUUGCAAGUCUAAUAAUAGGUAUUGUACUUAUUUGCUACUUGAUUUACAUCUUUUUGCAAAUCAGUUGUACACCCUUUGCAAACAGUUGACUGAAUCUUAGUGAUUAUGCUACCCGGAGACCAUUAUGCAGUAUUAUCAGUUAGAGGAAACAACAAUUGUACUAUAGCAUAUUGCGAUUGGUCGGCCGUCGUCCUGAGCUAUGAAAUCUGCCCUAAGGCCCUAGUUCGACUGCAUGCCCAUAUUGCAAUUCCAUCAGCAACUUCAUUGUUACAACUUGUAGUGGUAUGUGUCAGGGCAUGAUGCAGGACCAAUAUCCAUAAGCAAGGUACAUAUUUGGACUUCUACGUUCAAAAUGUAGGUUAAGUUUUGGAAUGCAGGACAAGAACUACCCACCAUAUUGAUUGUCACCAAUUUCCUCUGUUUCUAUGACGUUAGUCAAAAAAAAGGAGAGGUGGUGGUGAAUAACCUUGAUGUUCCCGGCCUCCUUGAUCGCCUCGACGAGC
This is a long non-coding RNA of Setaria italica (foxtail millet), 6156 nucleotides long. RefSeq lists it as uncharacterized. The record is from RefSeq and is a predicted model, not a curated record. The transcript is spliced from 5 exons. NCBI's taxonomy places the organism in Eukaryota, Viridiplantae, Streptophyta, Magnoliopsida, Poales, Poaceae.